ACUCAAAUGAAUUGACGGGAGAGUGCACAACCAGGGGAGCAUGUGGUUUAAUUCGAGACGAAGCGAAGGACCUUACCCAGAUUUGACAUGUAAUCGUACAUUUUUCUAGAAAUAGAGAGAAAUCCCUAAAGGAUGAUUACACAGCUGUUGCAUGGCUGUCGUCAGCUCGUGCCGUGGGGUGUCGACUUAAGUGUCGAAACGAGCGCAACCCCCAUCUGGUGUUCAAUAGUCACCGGAAACUGCCCCGCAUUUAGCGGGGAGGAAGGAGGGGAUGACGUCAAGUCAGCACGACGCUUAUAUCUGGGGCCACACACAUCCUACAAUGGGGAGUAACAAUGGGUUGCCAAGCCGCAAGGCGGAGCUAAUCCCACCAAACCUCCCCUCAGUUCAGAUUGGGGGCUGAAAUUCGCCCCCAUGAAGCCGGACUUGGUAGUAAUCGCGGAUCAGCAGGCCGCGGUGAAUACGUUCUCACUCUUUGUACACACCGCCCGU
This 492-nucleotide ribosomal RNA is filed under the name uncultured bacterium. RNAcentral describes it as "partial 16S ribosomal RNA". It matches the Rfam family "Bacterial small subunit ribosomal RNA", at positions 899 to 1397 of the family's 1533-position model. The record is from RNAcentral.